This 749-nucleotide ribosomal RNA is filed under the name uncultured bacterium. Its description in RNAcentral is "bacterial SSU rRNA". It matches the Rfam family "Bacterial small subunit ribosomal RNA", at positions 132 to 916 of the family's 1533-position model. The record is from RNAcentral.
AGAGGUACGGAACAACUCAGGGAAACUUGAGCUAAUACCGUAUAUGCUCUUGCGAGGAAAGAUUUAUCGCCUUUAGACGGGCCCGCGUCGGAUUAGCUAGUUGGUGGGGUAAUGGCCUACCAAGGCGACGAUCCGUAGCUGAUCUGAGAGGAUGAUCAGCCACACUGGGACUGAGACACGGCCCAGACUCCUACGGGAGGCAGCAGUGGGGAAUCUUGGACAAUGGGCGCAAGCCUGAUCCAGCCAUGCCGCGUGAGUGAAGAAGGCCUUCGGGUUGUAAAGCUCUUUUGUCAGGGACGAUAAUGACGGUACCUGAAGAAUAAGCCCCGGCAAACUUCGUGCCAGCAGCCGCGGUAAUACGAAGGGGGCUAGCGUUGUUCGGAAUUACUGGGCGUAAAGCGCACGUAGGCUGACAUUUAAGUCAGGGGUGAAAUCCCGAGGCUCAACCUCGGAACUGCCCUUGAUACUGGGUGUCUCGAGUCCGGAAGAGGUUAGUGGGAUUCCCAGUGUAGAGGUGAAAUUCGUAGAUAUUGGGAAGAACACCAGUGGCGAAGGCGGCUAACUGGUCCGGUACUGACGCUGAGGUGCGAAAGCGUGGGGAGCACACAGGAUUAGAUACCCUGGUAGUCCACGCCGUAAACUAUGGGUGCUAGCCGUUGGAAAGCUUGCUUUUCAGUGGCGCAGCUAACGCAUUAAGCAUCCCGCCUGGGGAGUACGGUCGCAAGAUUAAAACUCAAAGGAAUUGACGG